AUCUCUGAGGUGUUCGAGGUAGGGUUAGUCCCCUGAGCCGAUAUUCUAAACUAAAGAACGAUGUAAUUGUUAGCUGGUGUGUAUGCCUUCUUGUAAGGAAACCUAAAAGCUAAUGUGCUAUGUUCACCUUGAACCUUGGGUUCAAGGGUUACAACCUGAAACGGCAUCUUGGAGAUU
This 177-nucleotide non-coding RNA is filed under the name uncultured Gilliamella sp. RNAcentral's name for it is "6S / SsrS RNA". It matches the Rfam family "6S / SsrS RNA". From Rfam's summary of the family: E. coli 6S RNA was the first non coding RNA to be sequenced, but its function was unknown until recently. It consists of 184 nucleotides that fold into an extended hairpin structure with a large single-stranded internal bulge. The 6S RNA specifically associates with RNA polymerase holoenzyme containing the sigma70 specificity factor. The record is from RNAcentral. Lineage: Bacteria; Pseudomonadati; Pseudomonadota; Gammaproteobacteria; Orbales; Orbaceae.